CUGGCCCAUGGAUGCUGCACCAGCCUUGUCCAUCUGGAUCUCUCUAAAAAUGUGUACUCACACAAAAAGGUGAAAGAUGUCUCUCCUGCCAUCAAGCAAUUUUUCAGCAAGGCCUGUGCCCUCAAGCAUGUCUCACUGGCAGGUACCAAGCUGCCUCCAGACGCUGUAAGGGCUUUGCUGCAAGGACUGGCAUACAACAGUUGCAUCAGUGACCUGCACCUGG
Non-coding RNA from Struthio camelus australis, 223 nucleotides. Lineage: Eukaryota; Metazoa; Chordata; Aves; Struthioniformes; Struthionidae. The record is from RefSeq and is a predicted model, not a curated record.